ACGUACCACUAGGGGUGCCAGUUUCGUUGCUUUAACGGCCUGGCUGAGAUCACACCCUCCGCACCUGAUCCGGGUCAUGCCGGCGCAGGGAAGUGACCAAGCGUGAUC
This 108-nucleotide non-coding RNA is filed under the name Synechococcus sp. Its description in RNAcentral is "TPP sequence". It matches the Rfam family "TPP riboswitch aptamer (THI element)". Rfam says of the family: Vitamin B(1) in its active form thiamin pyrophosphate (TPP) is an essential coenzyme that is synthesised by coupling of pyrimidine and thiazole moieties in bacteria. The previously detected thiamin-regulatory element, thi box was extended, resulting in a new, highly conserved RNA secondary structure, the THI element, which is widely distributed in eubacteria and also occurs in some archaea. Analysis of operon structures identified a large number of new candidate thiamin-regulated genes, mostly transporters, in various prokaryotic organisms. RNAcentral also lists the same sequence under 1 other name. The record is from RNAcentral. Lineage: Bacteria; Bacillati; Cyanobacteriota; Cyanophyceae; Synechococcales; Synechococcaceae.